Molecule: transfer RNA, 138 nt
Filed under: Klebsiella pneumoniae subsp. pneumoniae Ecl8
Lineage: Bacteria; Pseudomonadati; Pseudomonadota; Gammaproteobacteria; Enterobacterales; Enterobacteriaceae
Description: tRNA-Glu
Rfam family: Bacterial small subunit ribosomal RNA (bases 1-54)
Source: RNAcentral
GUGAAGUCGUAACAAGGUAACCGUAGGGGAACCUGCGGUUGGAUCACCUCCUUACCUUAAAGAACCUGCCUUUGUAGUGCUCACACAGAUUGUCUGAUGAAACGUAAAGAAGCAAGGCGUCUUGCGAUUGAGACUUCA